CCUACGGGAGGCUGCAGUGAGGAAUAUUGGUCAAUGGCCGCAAGGCUGAACCAGCGAAGCCGCGUGAGGGAUGACGUUCCUAUGGAUUGUAAACCUCUUUUGUCAGGGAGCAAAGGGCGCCACGUGUGGCGUUUUGCGAGUACCUGAAGAAAAAGCAUCGGCUAACUCCGUGCCAGCCGCCGCGGUAUUACGGAGGGUGCGAGCGGUAAUCGGAAUUACUGGGCGGAAAGCGCUCGUAGGCGGUAUGUCAAGUCAUGGGUGAAAUCCCAGCGCUCAACGUGGGAACUGCCUUUGAAACUGGCAAACUGGAGUGUGUGAGAGGAUAGUGGAAUUCCAGGUGUAGGAGUGAAAGCCGUAGAUAUCUGGAGGAACAUCAGUGGCGAAGGCGACUAUCUGGAACAUAACUGACGCUGAGGAGCGAAAGCGUGGGGAGCAAACAGGAUUAGAUACCCGAGUAGUC
RNAcentral lists this ribosomal RNA (460 nucleotides) under uncultured bacterium. RNAcentral's name for it is "partial 16S ribosomal RNA". It matches the Rfam family "Bacterial small subunit ribosomal RNA", at positions 338 to 795 of the family's 1533-position model. The record is from RNAcentral.